Molecule: small nuclear RNA, 107 nt
Organism: Artibeus jamaicensis (Jamaican fruit-eating bat)
Lineage: Eukaryota; Metazoa; Chordata; Mammalia; Chiroptera; Phyllostomidae
Source: RefSeq, a predicted model, not a curated record
GUGCUCACUUCAACAGCAUAUAUACUAGAAUUGGAAUGAUACAGAGAAUAAUAGCAUGGCUCCUGAACAAGGAUGACAUGCAAAUUUGUGAAGCACUCCAUAUUUUU